CCAAUAGCGUAUAUUAAAGUUGUUGUGGUUAAAAAGCUCGUAGUUGAACCUUGGGCCUGGCUGGCCGGUCCGCCUCACCGCGUGUACUGGUCCGGCCGGGCCUUUCCCUCUGUGGAACCCCAUGCCCUUCACUGGGUGUGGUGGGGAAACAGGACUUUUACUGUGAAAAAAUUAGAGUGCUCCAGGCAGGCCUAUGCUCGAAUACAUUAGCAUGGAAUAAUAGAAUAGGACGUGUGGUUCUAUUUUGUUGGUUUCUAGGACCGCCGUAAUGAUUAAUAGGGACAGUCGGGGGCAUCAGUAUUCAAUUGUCAGAGGUGAAAUUCUUGGAUUUAUUGAAGACUAACUACUGCGAAAGCAUUUGCCAAGGAUGUUUUCAUUAAUCAGGAACGAAAGUUAGGGGAUCGAAGACGAUCAGAUACCGUCGUAGUCUUAACCAUAAACUAUGCCGACUAGGAAUCAGACGAUGUUAAUUUUUUAAUGACUCGUUUGGCACCUUACG
This 499-nucleotide unclassified non-coding RNA is filed under the name uncultured Paraglomus. Its description in RNAcentral is "SSU rRNA". It matches the Rfam family "Eukaryotic small subunit ribosomal RNA", at positions 591 to 1092 of the family's 1831-position model. The record is from RNAcentral. Lineage: Eukaryota; Fungi; Glomeromycota; Glomeromycetes; Paraglomerales; Paraglomeraceae.